Molecule: ribosomal RNA, 444 nt
Filed under: uncultured bacterium
Lineage: Bacteria
Description: bacterial SSU rRNA
Rfam family: Bacterial small subunit ribosomal RNA
Source: RNAcentral
CCAGACUCCUACGGGAGGCAGCAGUAAGGGAUAUUGGUCAAUGGGGGAAACCCUGAACCAGCAACGCCGCGUGAGGGAAGGCGGUUUUCGGAUUGUAAGCCUCUGUCCUCUGUGAAGAUGAUGACGGUAGCAGAGGAGGAAGCUCCGGCUAACUACGUGCCAGCAGCCGCGGUAAUACGUAGGUGGCAAGCGUUGUCCGGAUUUACUGGGUGUAAAGGGCGUGCAGCCGGGCUGACAAGUCAGAUGUGAAAUCCCGCGGCUCAACCGCGGAACUGCAUUUGAAACUGUCAGUCUUGAGUACCGGAGAGGUCAUCGGAAUUCCUUGUGUAGCGGUGAAAUGCGUAGAUAUAAGGAAGAACACCAGUGGCGAAGGCGGACGACUGGACGGCAACUGACGGUGAGGCGCGAAAGCGUGGGGAGCAAACAGGAUUAGAUACCCGAGUA